UGCAAGAAGCUUUUGCCAAAGCUAAUAAAGCUCUUAUGCUCUCUGAUUUGUCUACCAAUGAAGAUGGUAAUAUUAAGAAGAAGAGUAAAAAAAGUAUUUUUGAAAAAAAAAUAUCUAGUCCUCCAGCAUUUUAUUAACUACCAAAAAGAAAGAUUUUAAAAAAUAAGCCUAAUUUAUUUGAAAUUAGUGAUGAUGAACCAGUAGGUAGUAAACGAUGGUUAUAAUUCUGACAAAGAUCCAGAUUAUUGUCUGCUUCAUUCACUUCAGACUUCAAAUAAUGCUACGAUUCAAAAAAGCACAAGUACUGUUACAUCUGUAUUUGAAGAAGUACAUACUAACAUGCCAUAUAUUAUAUCAUCACUAGGGCUCGGAUUUAUAUGUUAAUACAUAUUUUUAGUGUGACUUGA
Long non-coding RNA from Aphis gossypii (cotton aphid), 407 nucleotides. RefSeq lists it as uncharacterized. The transcript has 3 exons. The record is from RefSeq and is a predicted model, not a curated record. NCBI's taxonomy places the organism in Eukaryota, Metazoa, Arthropoda, Insecta, Hemiptera, Aphididae.